Long non-coding RNA from Nerophis ophidion (straightnose pipefish), 1688 nucleotides. RefSeq lists it as uncharacterized. The transcript is spliced from 4 exons. NCBI's taxonomy places the organism in Eukaryota, Metazoa, Chordata, Actinopteri, Syngnathiformes, Syngnathidae. The record is from RefSeq and is a predicted model, not a curated record.
ACGUGAUUUCAAAACUGACGUCUCAUUGGCUGGUUCCCACGCAGGCGCGAUUUAUGCAAAAGAAGCCCAUUUUUCCACGCUGAUUUGCUUUUGUCCAACACAUCUGCGGAGUGUGUACGGUGGACAGGCCCUCGGGAGGUGAUCUUGUGAACACUUGCUGAGGAUCCUUGAUGCCGAGUGCAGGAUGUUUCCUACCAGUUUGAAGCCAUGUCUGAAGGGUUCCGAGGUGGAAUGUUCUGCGCUGGCCGAUGGCGGCGUCGGGGGGGGGGGGGGGGGGGGGGCACUGCACCGCAUGCCCAUGGUGACGAGGAAACAGCUGACGCAGGCAACAACGGCAUAGACCAACAUCUGAAGGAUGACAGUGGAAAAAGUUUGGACACCCCUGCCAUAUGGUCUCCACAUCAAAGGUCCAUUUCCCUACGAAGACCAUGCAUCCUGCCCAUCAACCAAUGGCCUCAGCAGCCAAGUUUGAUCACUCUAUGGAGGCUGUACACCCCUCCCAUCCCCACACCGCUGGCCCAUCACCAAAUGUCCACACCUAUGGUCCUUCACCCGGCGUACACAAUAGCUUGCUACCUGAAUCCACCUGAGAAUAAAAAGGCAGCUUUCCUGGCACCAGACAGGAGAGAUGCAGGCAACCCAUCUAUUGAGGACACUAUCUGUUAUCAACCACAGGCAGAAAAAUCAUGGACGCCAUGUGAUGGAAAAAAUGUGGGCAGAAAAAGAAGGAAUUGAAGAAGUCCUCUUGAAAAUAGGUAAGUAGCAUUCAUGAUGUCAUUGUUUUGUUGACUUCAACUUUGAACACAUUUUCUCCUUCUGCUAUUGUUUGUGCUCUUUUUUCCCUUUCAGAUCCGGUCCAAGUCAGAGUACUUCAAACUCUCUGCGACUUGGUUGGAGACAAAUACAGCGACGGCCCUCCUCAACAAUCGGGCCAGCAAGAGCUCUUUCCUGAGAGCGGCGUAUUCAUAUCAUUGUUCCGCCUUGCUGCCAUGAGACAUGCUGCAGAGCCCAAAUGUAUGCCUUUAUUUGGACCUCUUUUUUCUACGUGUCAAAAUGCUGUCCCUUUUUGACGCCCUGGAAACAAACCUGCAGGAACACCAAAGCGCAUCCUUAAGCGGAAAAAAGUGGAAGGAAUCCUUAGUAAGUUUUCCCAAACAGAGGGUGUUUUCAGGCCAAAAUUGGGUCACAAUAAUGAAAUAGAAGUUCAAUAUGAGAAAUGUUGAUCCCUUUUCGAUUACAGCAGACUGGAAGCAUAACUGAAUGUUACAUCAUUACAAUUUGUUAUCCACUCCAAACUAGCGUUAUGAUGAGCAAUAUAGUCUGAUGUCCAUCAACUUGAAGUGUGGUUGUGUGUAUUAAUGGUUUUGCGUAAAUGAAGGCUUUAAAGGGCAAUAAAAAAGCAUUAAAUGAGGCAUUUAAAAAAGGGAAUAUGAUUGUAGGACAUGGCGGACAGUCAAUAUGUCAAACGGUAAAGGAAAAUGAACUUAAGAAGGUUACAGUCGUUUCUUUUUUGAACUGCAUACAAGAGGUAUUGUAAGGUGGGAACACGACAAAAGCACUGCUUCAAUCAAGCAAAAUGAAACAUCAACUUUUCCAUUCUUUGGUCACUGUAGGCGUGUAGUCCUUAACUGUGACACCAUGUCAGGAUAAUGGAGAAGCUGAGCCGACACGGAGUCGUUUAUUUCAAU